Molecule: ribosomal RNA, 255 nt
Filed under: uncultured bacterium
Lineage: Bacteria
Description: partial 16S ribosomal RNA
Rfam family: Bacterial small subunit ribosomal RNA
Source: RNAcentral
GACGUAGGGCGCGAGCGUUUGUCCGGAUUUAUUGGGCGUAAAGAGCUCGUAGGCGGUCUGUCGCGUCGGCUGUGAAAACCCGGAGCUCAACUCCGGGCCUGCAGUCGAUACGGGCAGACUGGAGUUCGGCAGGGGAGACUGGAAUUCCUGGUGUAGCGGUGAAAUGCGCAGAUAUCAGGAGGAACACCGGUGGCGAAGGCGGGUCUCUGGGCCGAUGACUGACGCUGAGGAGCGAAAGCGUGGGGAGCGAACAGG